UCCGGUUUGUCACCGGCAGUCCCAUUAGAGUGCCCAACUCAAUGUAGCAACUAAUGAUAAGGGUUGCGCUCGUUGCUGGACUUAACCAAACACCUCACGGCACGAGCUGACGACAGCCAUGCAGCACCUGUGCACAGACCCCGAAAGGCUAUACCAUCUCUGGUAUAUUCCUGUGCAUGUCAAGCCUGGGUAAGGUUCUUCGCGUUGCAUCGAAUUAAACCACAUGCUCCACUGCUUGUGCGGGUCCCCGUCAAUUCUUUUGAGUUUCAGCCUUGCGACUGUACUCCCCAGGCGGUAUACUUAUCGCGUUAGCUACGGCACAACCAGGGUUGAGUCCGGUUACACCAAGUAUACAUCGUUUACGGCAAGGACUAC
Molecule: unclassified non-coding RNA, 375 nt
Filed under: uncultured Parachlamydiaceae bacterium
Lineage: Bacteria; Pseudomonadati; Chlamydiota; Chlamydiia; Parachlamydiales; Parachlamydiaceae
Description: contains 16S-23S intergenic spacer region
Source: RNAcentral